Molecule: long non-coding RNA, 244 nt
Organism: Rhipicephalus microplus (southern cattle tick)
Lineage: Eukaryota; Metazoa; Arthropoda; Arachnida; Ixodida; Ixodidae
Source: RefSeq, a predicted model, not a curated record
ACCAAGCGGCGGUGGUGGUGGCGGCUGGCAACCAAGUGGCGGCGGCUGGCAAUGAUCGGUGACACCACAACAUGCCACAAGCGUAUGAAGCGAAAAUAAAGUAGAGCUUCAAAGAAAUCAUGACUGGGCGACGUUUCCCCACAUCUAGUCGCCCCACGAAGUUUACGACCACAGUCGACCUGUAAAUGCUGUACAGAGCGGGCUUCUAUCCGUCCGUGUUGUUGCAAUAAACUGUUACAAAAUA